RNAcentral lists this transfer RNA (67 nucleotides) under Loxodonta africana (African savanna elephant). It matches the Rfam family "tRNA". Rfam says of the family: Transfer RNA (tRNA) molecules are approximately 80 nucleotides in length. Their secondary structure includes four short double-helical elements and three loops (D, anti-codon, and T loops). The record is from Rfam by way of RNAcentral. Lineage: Eukaryota; Metazoa; Chordata; Mammalia; Proboscidea; Elephantidae.
GGUGGCAAAGGGGUUAAGCAGUUGGCUGCUAACCAAAAGGUCGGUGGUUCAAACCCACCUGUCGCUC